This 1528-nucleotide ribosomal RNA is filed under the name Salmonella enterica subsp. enterica serovar Paratyphi B. RNAcentral describes it as "partial 23S ribosomal RNA". It matches the Rfam family "Bacterial large subunit ribosomal RNA", at positions 788 to 2215 of the family's 2925-position model. The record is from RNAcentral. Lineage: Bacteria; Pseudomonadati; Pseudomonadota; Gammaproteobacteria; Enterobacterales; Enterobacteriaceae.
GUUGAAAAAUUAGCGGAUGACCUGUGGCUGGGGGUGAAAGGCCAAUCAAACCGGGAGAUAGCUGGUUCUCCCCGAAAGCUAUUUAGGUAGCGCCUCGUGAAUUCAUCUCCGGGGGUAGAGCACUGUUUCGGCUAGGGGGCCAUCCCGGCUUACCAACCCGAUGCAAACUGCGAAUACCGGAGAAUGUUAUCACGGGAGACACACGGCGGGUGCUAACGUCCGUCGUGAAGAGGGAAACAACCCAGACCGCCAGCUAAGGUCCCAAAGUCAUGGUUAAGUGGGAAACGAUGUGGGAAGGCCCAGACAGCCAGGAUGUUGGCUUAGAAGCAGCCAUCAUUUAAAGAAAGCGUAAUAGCUCACUGGUCGAGUCGGCCUGCGCGGAAGAUGUAACGGGGCUAAACCAUGCACCGAAGCUGCGGCAGCGAACGUAUCACUUAAAGCGAUUCAGCGGGUUACGAUUGACGGAGCGAAGCGACGUCAAAGCGUAUACAAAGUCGAGUCGGUUUAAGGAUACGUUCGUUGGGUAGGGGAGCGUUCUGUAAGCCUGUGAAGGUGUGUCGUGAGGCAUGCUGGAGGUAUCAGAAGUGCGAAUGCUGACAUAAGUAACGAUAAAGCGGGUGAAAAGCCCGCUCGCCGGAAGACCAAGGGUUCCUGUCCAACGUUAAUCGGGGCAGGGUGAGUCGACCCCUAAGGCGAGGCCGAAAGGCGUAGUCGAUGGGAAACGGGUUAAUAUUCCCGUACUUGGUGUUACUGCGAAGGGGGGACGGAGAAGGCUAUGUUGGCCGGGCGACGGUUGUCCCGGUUUAAGCGUGUAGGUGUGUGUUCCAGGUAAAUCCGGUUCACUUUAACACUGAGGCGUGAUGACGAGGCACUACGGUGCUGAAGCAACAAAUGCCCUGCUUCCAGGAAAAGCCUCUAAGCAUCAGGUAACAUCAAAUCGUACCCCAAACCGACACAGGUGGUCAGGUAGAGAAUACCAAGGCGCUUGAGAGAACUCGGGUGAAGGAACUAGGCAAAAUGGUGCCGUAACUUCGGGAGAAGGCACGCUGACACGUAGGUGAAGUGAUUUACUCAUGGAGCUGAAGUCAGUCGAAGAUACCAGCUGGCUGCAACUGUUUAUUAAAAACACAGCACUGUGCAAACACGAAAGUGGACGUAUACGGUGUGACGCCUGCCCGGUGCCGGAAGGUUAAUUGAUGGGGUCAGCGCAAGCGAAGCUCCUGAUCGAAGCCCCGGUAAACGGCGGCCGUAACUAUAACGGUCCUAAGGUAGCGAAAUUCCUUGUCGGGUAAGUUCCGACCUGCACGAAUGGCGUAAUGAUGGCCAGGCUGUCUCCACCCGAGACUCAGUGAAAUUGAACUCGCUGUGAAGAUGCAGUGUACCCGCGGCAAGACGGAAAGACCCCGUGAACCUUUACUAUAGCUUGACACUGAACAUUGAGCCUUGAUGUGUAGGAUAGGUGGGAGGCUUUGAAGCGUGGACGCCAGUCUGCGUGGAGCCGACCUUGAAAUACCACCCUUUAAUGUUU